This 253-nucleotide ribosomal RNA is filed under the name uncultured prokaryote. RNAcentral describes it as "partial 16S ribosomal RNA". It matches the Rfam family "Bacterial small subunit ribosomal RNA", at positions 524 to 776 of the family's 1533-position model. The record is from RNAcentral.
UACGGAGGGUGCAAGCGUUGCUCGGAAUUAUUGGGCGUAAAGGGUAGGUAGGUGGUCUCAUUUGUCUGGGGUGAAAGCCUUGAGCUUAACUCAAGAAGUGCCCCAGAAACGGUGAGACUAGAGUCUUGGAGGGGGUCGUGGAAUUCCCGGUGUAGCGGUGAAAUGCGUAGAGAUCGGGAGGAACACCGAUGGCGAAGGCAGCCCCCUGGGCCAACACUGACGCUCAGGCACGAAAGCGUGGGGAGCAAACAGG